UACAGGGGGGGCAAGCGUUGUUCGGAAUUACUGGGCGUAAAGGGCUCGUAGGCGGCCAACUAAGUCCGACGUGAGAUCCCCAAGCUUAACUUGGGAACUGCGUCGGAUACUGGAUGGCUUGAAUUCGGGAGAGGGAUGCAGAAUUCCAGGUGUAGCGGUGAAAUGCGUAGAUAUCUGGAGGAAUACCGGUGGCGAAGGCGGCAUCCUGGACCGACAUUGACGCUGAGGAGCGAAAGCUAGGGGAGCAAACGGG
RNAcentral lists this ribosomal RNA (253 nucleotides) under uncultured bacterium. RNAcentral describes it as "partial 16S ribosomal RNA". It matches the Rfam family "Bacterial small subunit ribosomal RNA", at positions 524 to 776 of the family's 1533-position model. The record is from RNAcentral.